Molecule: long non-coding RNA, 2497 nt
Organism: Ochotona curzoniae (black-lipped pika)
Lineage: Eukaryota; Metazoa; Chordata; Mammalia; Lagomorpha; Ochotonidae
Exons: 3
Source: RefSeq, a predicted model, not a curated record
UGGACUGUGGACCACUAAACUGCAAACCAACUAAACCUUCUUCCCUCCUAAGGUGGAUCCUCUUUGGUAAUCCUUAAGAUUCUAUUAACCCCUGGUGUGGACAAUGAUAAAUUUCUUUAUCUGUGACAAAGUACUCUGUGUGGACACUGAUUGCCUACCAAGCAUCCAUUGCCUCCCCGCCGCCACAUACUUAAGUGGAAACUGGUGUCACGCCAUUGUCAUCGGAGGGCUGAUACCCUUCCGGAACCUUCUUAGGCCCAGACUGCACUCUACAUCACCCAAGCUCCAUGGGUGAUCAACUGUGGUUUUUCUAACAUUCUACAACUGGUCUACUAUUCUGCAAUUGGUCACUGCAACAGUAUUUUCUAGAACAUUUGUUUUGAUGCCAUUUGUGGUUUCUUUAUAUUCCCUGCCAAACUGUCAACUCAGGGUCUCUCCAUAUGCCAACAUCUGGUAUUCAAUUGGACGUCUGGAUGAUCUUCCAAAGAAAUGAUUGCUGAGAGCCAGGGAAUUUCUUCUGUUCCUGCUUUCCCUCUGUUCAAAUCCUACUGAGUUAUCCAAAUGAUCUCUCUAUCAACACAUGCGAAUGUGUUCAGAAUCUUCUGUGUAGGAGAUGCCUAACAUUGACAUCAAGCUGGAAGUUGGUUGGAAAAUAAUGUGUUCUGCUGUUGUGUUAUUCUCUUUUAUUUUGCUGUUUAAAAUAAUCUCAAGAAAUCGCAAUCAAACCCCCAAAUAGGCACAGGAUGCAUAACUGAAUUCAGUUUUCCCCUUAUUACAUUGUUGGUAUUAUCAACGUACAAUGAAAUCUCUGAGACGCCAGACAUAUGGCCCCCAGAUGAUGUCUGAGUCGGGGCCUUGAGGGAGUGUGACGACACUUCAGCCGAGUGCACAGUGUAUGCUCCAGCUGCAGCCUGCAGAUGUGUGCCCGGGCAGGCUGGGGAAGGACACGAGCCCUGGGCUUGCCUCCUAGUGCUCCUCCUAGAACAGUGGCAACCUCCAUUCCUCUUCUGGAGAAGCAGCAAGCCAUGGUUCCCAGACACACAGCUGGCCUGGUCCAAGGGGAAGCACGUGGCUGAGGACAGGAGCUUUGGUUCUGAUCCCAGGCCCUUCCCGAAGUUAAAACUCUAGGGGCCUUCUGCCAACAUGGACCUUGGAGAGGCUCUUCAAGCCUGCUGUAGGGCAGCGGAGAGGAACUGGGGUGUGGAUGGGACAAAGUGGGGGAAGUCCCUUGGGGCAGACCUCCUGGCCAUCUCUCCUUCCCACUUCGGCCAUGCCUGGAGUACUGUGAUCUGGUUUGUCUUGGGCCUCCAUGUAAAAUGGAUCUGGACAGCAAAAAAAUCACCACCUACAGCAGAUAAUCCACCUGCCGGGUCAUACCUCAUAUCAGACUAUGACUAAGGAGCCCCCUUGGGCUAACACACGCAGACUUGUUACUAUGUCUUACUUUUGACUGACCUUGGUGGUAACCUGUCAGGCCAUCAACUCUCCUGAGACCGGGCUCCAGUGUCCAGCUGGGGAGACCAGGCUGAUAUGGCAGAAUCAUGCUCUGAGCUGAUUCAACACACAUGCUCUAAGUGCCUCCUCCUUCCUUGCUUUCUUGUGUUCACUUUCCUUUCCUUUCCCUCUUCCUCUCUUCCCCUGCUUUCCCUCUCUCUUCCUGAUCCUUUCCCAGUCUCUGGCCUGCCCAUUGUAGACCUUUCAGUGGCCAUAAAUUCCUUUCACACUUGAAGCAGUUUCCAAGUGAGUUGAGAAGGGUAAGUAUGUCCCAGCCUCCUGCCUAGACACCGUUUCGGGUGCAGAUAGAACUGGGCCUGCCUGGGAUUCUCACAGGAGCCCACCUGGGCCCAUCUGCUGCUAUCGUAAAUCUGCGGGGAGUUGAAGUCGAUUGAUCUGGGGAGCGUUUCCAAGCUCCCAUGUCUGCCAGCUGUGUGGAGCUGCCUCUGCCAGGCGUGUGAAGCGCUGAAUCAGCAAAAUGAGGUGCCUCCAGAUUGGACAGGGAGAAACGUGACUUUACAAGUGCGGGGGAAGUCCAUCUGGAGAUGACUGUUGAACAAACGGUAAAUGCCGCAGCUACACCGCUUGGCCACGCGCAUGCUUCCGGGGCCAUUCCAUUCACUGUUCUCCCCCCCGCCCCCCACGGCUGUACUCCGGGAACCUGCGAUGGUUGCUGGCAACACCAUACAGCAGUAUGCAGGAGCAGGGGAACCUCACAGCAUCCCCCUUCUGGGACGUAGGACCCCAGAGUUACCGGGUCUACACACUCUUGCUCCAUCAGAGAUGGAUGUGGUUAGCUGAAGGAGGCUCAUCUGUUUCCAUCCCUGACGCACACUGAUGAGGUUUAAAUGACAGCUGUGAACAGCAUCCUCUGGGUUUUUUCAAUCUGGAAACUCUCUAGUUUCUGUCCUAGGAUGCAUCUUUGCAGAGAGGGCUUCCCCAGAAGGUGAUUCAGUCACUCACCCUGUGAGCAAGCAAGCGUUAAGGGUGUCCUGUGCCAGAG